UACGUACACUACCAUUCUGAGGCUUUGCU
RNAcentral lists this non-coding RNA (29 nucleotides) under Rattus norvegicus (Norway rat). The record is from RNAcentral. Lineage: Eukaryota; Metazoa; Chordata; Mammalia; Rodentia; Muridae.